Cyprinus carpio carpio is the source of this 861-nucleotide long non-coding RNA. The record is from Ensembl. Lineage: Eukaryota; Metazoa; Chordata; Actinopteri; Cypriniformes; Cyprinidae.
CCAUUUACAAAAUGCUCUUACGCUAUUUCAGUGAGACCCCAGAAUCUUGUCUUCCACUGGCAGACUUCUAUUCUACAAUGCCAUAUGACAAAGAAAGCCCUGUUGACUAUUGGGUCCGUCUCAAUAAUGCGGCCGAAAUCGCUGAUAAUCACCUACAGAAAGAGGUAUGUUCAGGUACAAGCCUAUCACGAAGUGGUCAUCAGCAGAGGUGCAAGAGGCAAUUGACGAGCAUCAAAGGGAGCUGAGAACCAAGAAUCCACAUCCUUACUCUUUCCCUGGCAAUUCGCUUCAGGUAGCAACUGCCGCCGUCAGGCACACAGAGGCCUCUACAGGGGACAACACUGCAGUUAACUCAGCAGCGUGCAUCCCUGGUACCCAUGCCACAAAGCCUGAGAUCGCCACAGCGCCUCCACACACAGCCUUGACUGACACUGGUACAUUAGAGCGAGUGCUCAGCAUGCUGGAAAGAGUGCUCGAACGCACUAAUGCGCAGGCUGCUUCUGAUAGACCGCAAAUACCUUCUUGGUCUCGUCCAUCCAAAUGUCGUGUUUGUGGUGAGAGAACCCAUUCCACACGGUCACACUGCAUGUCUGAGAAAAGAUGUCUAAACUGCUUAGAAGUUGGUCACCUGCGCAGGGAUUGCCCUAAGAAAAGUGCUGAGUAUGGGAGUCGCUCCCAGAUUCAGGGAAACUGACACGCCUGCACUUGGGAGGGGAUAGUGUGGGUGAAGAAGUUCAGACCCUCCAAGAUGAUGCAUCAAACAUAUAUGAGUCUACUUGUAAAACAGUUACUAGUGAUAAUAUGGUCCUGUUUCAGAAUGUGACGCAGCUGGCUCGGGCAGACAGCCUUUUCUACACCGAC